GAAGAACCAGAGCAUCACAUCCAAGAUGCUUUGACUGCACACACUGCUGGAGCUUCAAGUCAACUUAUGACAUGUGAGACAGUCAUUGAGGUUCACCCUCAGCCACACCCUCCACAGGAAGAACUCCUACUAGAGCAUCACAUCCAAGAUGCUUUGACUGCACACACCGCUGGACCUUCAAGUCAACCUAAGACUCCACCUGAAGAAGUUGGUGAAGUGUAUCCAAGGCCACUCCUCCCACAGGAAGAACACCACUAUCAAGAAACAUGUACAUCACCUGAACCCAAAAAUAAG
Molecule: long non-coding RNA, 294 nt
Organism: Eriocheir sinensis (Chinese mitten crab)
Lineage: Eukaryota; Metazoa; Arthropoda; Malacostraca; Decapoda; Varunidae
Exons: 3
Source: RefSeq, a predicted model, not a curated record